GACGAACGCUGGCGGCGUGCUUAACACAUGCAAGUCGAACGGAAAGGCCCUGCUUUUGUGGGGUGCUCGAGUGGCGAACGGGUGAGUAACACGUGAGUAACCUGCCCUUGACUUUGGGAUAACUUCAGGAAACUGGGGCUAAUACCGGAUAGGAGCUCCUGCUGCAUGGUGGUGGUUGGAAAGUUUCGGCGGUUGGGGAUGGACUCGCGGCUUAUCAGCUUGUUGGUGGGGUAGUGGCUUACCAAGGCUUUGACGGGUAGCCGGCCUGAGAGGGUGACCGGCCUCAUUGGGACUGAGCUACGGCCCAGCCUCCUACGGGAGGCAGCAGUGGGGAAUAUUGCCCAAUGGGCCGAAGCCUGAUGCAGCAACGCCGCGUGCGGGAUGACGGCCUUCGGGUUGUAAACCGCUUUCGCCUGUGACGAAGCGUGAGUGACGGUACUGGGUAAAGAAGCACCGGCUAACUACGUG
This 468-nucleotide ribosomal RNA is filed under the name uncultured bacterium. RNAcentral's name for it is "partial 16S ribosomal RNA". It matches the Rfam family "Bacterial small subunit ribosomal RNA", at positions 28 to 507 of the family's 1533-position model. The record is from RNAcentral.